RNAcentral lists this ribosomal RNA (478 nucleotides) under uncultured bacterium. Its description in RNAcentral is "partial 16S ribosomal RNA". It matches the Rfam family "Bacterial small subunit ribosomal RNA", at positions 28 to 507 of the family's 1533-position model. The record is from RNAcentral.
GAUGAACGCUAGCGGCAGGCCUAACACAUGCAAGUCGAGGGAGAAGCCCUUUCGGGGGCUGAAACCGGCGCACGGGUGCGUAACGCGUAUGCAACCUACCUUUCACCGGGGGCUAGCUCGAAGAAAUUUGGAUUAAUACCUCAUUAUAUUAUUGGAUGGCAUCAUUUUCUAAUUAAAACUGCGGUGGUGAAAGAUGGUCAUGCGUCCUAUUAGCUAGUUGGUGUGGUCACGGCACCCCAAGGCUACGGUAGGUAGGGGUCCUGAGAGGGAGAGCCCCCACACGGGUACUGAGACAGGGACCAGACUCCUACGGGAGGCAGGAGUGAGGAAUAGUGGUAAAUGGUCGGAAGACUGACCCAGCCAUGCCGCGUGCAGGAAGAAUGCCUUAGGGGUUAUAAACUUCUUUUAGAUGGGAAGAAUAGGGCGGACUUGUACGUUGAUGACGGUACCAGAUGAAGAAGCAUCGGCUAACUCCGUG